This 433-nucleotide ribosomal RNA is filed under the name uncultured bacterium. RNAcentral describes it as "partial 16S ribosomal RNA". It matches the Rfam family "Bacterial small subunit ribosomal RNA", at positions 29 to 507 of the family's 1533-position model. The record is from RNAcentral.
AACGAACGCUGGCGGCAUGCCUAACACAUGCAAGUCGAACGAGACCUUCGGGUCUAGUGGCGCACGGGUGCGUAACGCGUGGGAACCUGCCCUUAGGUUCGGAAUAACUCCCCGAAAGGGGUGCUAAUACCGGAUAAUGUCUUCGGACCAAAGAUUUAUCGCCUUUGGAUGGGCCCGCGUUGGAUUAGCUAGUUGGUAGGGUAAAAGCCUACCAAGGCGACGAUACAUAGCUGGUCUGAGAGGAUGAUCAGCCACACUGGGACUGAGACACGGCCCAGACUCCUACGGGAAGCAGCAGUGGGGAAUAUUGGACAAUGGGCGAAAGCCUGAUCCAGCAAUGCCGCGUGAGUGAUGAAGGCCUUAGGGUUGUAAAGCUCUUUUACCCGGGAUGAUAAUGACAGUACCGGGAGAAUAAGCUCCGGCUAACUCCGUG